This 430-nucleotide unclassified non-coding RNA is filed under the name soil metagenome. Its description in RNAcentral is "partial contains 5.8S ribosomal RNA, internal transcribed spacer 2, and large subunit ribosomal RNA". The stretch from base 1 to 120 matches the Rfam family "5.8S ribosomal RNA", at positions 35 to 154 of the family's 154-position model. The record is from RNAcentral.
GAUGAAGAACGUAGCGAAAUGCGAUACGUAAUGUGAAUUGCAGAAUUCAGUGAAUCAUCGAAUCUUUGAACGCAUAUUGCGCUCUCUGGUAUUCCGGAGAGCAUGCUUGUUUGAGUAUCAGUAAACACCUCAACUCCCUUUUCUUUUUUGAAAUUGGAGCUGGACUUGAGUGAUCCCAACGCUUUCUUCCAAGAAAGUGGAGGGUUGCUUGAAAUGCAGGUGCAGCUGAACUUUUCUCUGAGCUAUAAGCAUAUCUAUUUAGUCUGCCUAAAAAACAGAUUAUUACCUUUGCUGCAGCUAACAUAAAGGAGACUAGUUCUUGUGCUGACUGAUGCAGGAUUCACAGAGACAGCUUCGGCUGACUUUGUAAACUCGAUCUCAAAUCAAGUAAGACUACCCGCUGAACUUAAGCAUAUCAAUAAGCGGAGGA